Long non-coding RNA from Biomphalaria glabrata, 559 nucleotides. RefSeq lists it as uncharacterized. The record is from RefSeq and is a predicted model, not a curated record. The transcript is spliced from 2 exons. NCBI's taxonomy places the organism in Eukaryota, Metazoa, Mollusca, Gastropoda, Planorbidae.
AGUGUUUAUUUUUAUUAUGUAGACUGCAUAACUCUUUAUUGCAUCAACAAGAUUAUCAGAUCUAGUAGAGUAAAGCUCAGUUGACUCAGAAUCGACCCUGUUUUGAAUACAACUAGAUCAACAACUUCUGAAACUCCAAUAAUACUACCUGCAAGUGCUGCUGAAAGAAAAAUAACCCUAACAGCCUUUAAAUUUACUACAUAGAUUCUAAUGCUGACAACAUCAUUUAGAUCUAGAUGCUGCCUGAAGAUUUCAUGUCUGUGACAUUUUACUUCUCGAGAAAAGAUCUUUUCCCUUUGCAACUUCUGGUGUGGCUAGAGAGGCCAAUCCUUGAUACACAGCUGUAGUCACCAGGCACCAUUGCAUUGUCACCUUUCUUCCUGCUGCUGUUGUGUAUGGCAUCUGCAAUCCGAGACCCUUCCUUUAUGCUCUCUCCAUGUGGAUCUAUCCAGUGCCACCUUUUCCCAGCUGCUAGUGUCGAUUUUGAAGAUGCACACUAUGGUAAACUCAAUGCAGUUGAGUCCAAUAAUCUCCAUGUCCACAUUGUUUCAACAAGAAC